GAUGAACGCUAGCGGCAGGCCUAACACAUGCAAGUCGAGGGGCAUCAUGGCGUAGCAAUACGCUGAUGGCGACCGGCGCACGGGUGAGUAACACGUGAGUAACCUGCCCUUCACUGUGGGAUAACCUUCGGAAACGUGGGCUAAUACCGCAUAGGAGCUCCUGCUGCAUGGUGGGGGUUUGAAAGAUUUUUUGGUGGGGGAUGGGCUCGCGGCCUAUCAGCUUGAUGGUGGGGUGAUGGCCUACCAUGGCUUCGACGGGUAGCCGGCCUGAGAGGGCGACCGGCCACACUGGGACUGAGACACGGCCCAGACUCCUACGGGAGGCAGCAGUGGGGAAUAUUGCACAAUGGGCGAAAGCCUGAUGCAGCGACGCCGCGUGAGGGAUGAAGGCCUUCGGGUUGUAAACCUCUUUCUAGCAGGGAAGAAGCGAAAGUGACGGUACUGCAGAAGAAGACACCGGCUAACUACGUGCCAGCAGCCGACGGUAAACAACGG
This 495-nucleotide ribosomal RNA is filed under the name uncultured bacterium. RNAcentral's name for it is "bacterial SSU rRNA". It matches the Rfam family "Bacterial small subunit ribosomal RNA", at positions 28 to 528 of the family's 1533-position model. The record is from RNAcentral.